Molecule: long non-coding RNA, 632 nt
Organism: Sinocyclocheilus grahami
Lineage: Eukaryota; Metazoa; Chordata; Actinopteri; Cypriniformes; Cyprinidae
Source: Ensembl
AACAAAGUUUUGGUUUUUGGUGUAUGAAUCAGUUUGUAAUUUUAUUGCAGGAAACAAGCAAUGGAGACUGAGCUACUGAAAAGCAAGAACGAACUAAUGACACUGAACAACCAACUUUUGGAAGCGGAUCAGAGUCGACUAGAACUGUCCAUAGAGCUGGAGGCCUGGAAAGUUCACACAUCUCGCAGGCCGUUCCGUGGAAGCCCUCAUUACAGAGACACUCCCCAUUGCCAAACAACCCAUCCUUGCAUUGACCGUUGUUGGAGCACCAGUUAUCCACACUCCCAGGACAUUUGGAGCAAUCAUGCCCAAAGUAUCCUGGACAGCAGGAAUGGUCCUAAGAAGAAAGUUAUCAUGAGGUUUGAAUCUGAAUCCGCUUUGAAUCUGAAUUUAGCGUAAACCCACUACCAGUACAUAAUUGCAGGAAUUUCUAGCUGUGCAAUCUUGAUUUCACGCAUGUUCAGAGUGCAAGAAUGGCUUGCAUUUUCACUGUUACCACAAGUGGGCGCUGUAGCAGAGACUAGUAUAUACUCUUCUUAUAUAGUUAGUUUUCCUUUUCAGGUCAACAACUGUCAAGACCGAGGAACAGUUCAAAAGAUAUCUUGAGGAACAAGUAUCAACAUGUUUAUAGC